UUUCUUUGCUGGCGACCGGCGCACAGGUGAGUAACACGUAUCCAACCUGCCCUUUACUCGGGGAUAGCCUUUCGAAAGAAAGAUUAAUACCCGAUAGUAUAAUGAUUCCGCAUGGUUUCAUUAUUAAAGGAUUCCGGUAAAGGAUGGGGAUGCGUUCCAUUAGGUUGUUGGUGAGGUAACGGCUCACCAAGCCUUCGAUGGAUAGGGGUUCUGAGAGGAAGGUCCCCCACAUUGGAACUGAGACACGGUCCAA
This 253-nucleotide ribosomal RNA is filed under the name uncultured bacterium. Its description in RNAcentral is "partial 16S ribosomal RNA". It matches the Rfam family "Bacterial small subunit ribosomal RNA", at positions 80 to 334 of the family's 1533-position model. The record is from RNAcentral.